GAACUGCGAUAAGUAAUGUGAAUUGCAGAAUUCAGUGAAUCAUCGAGUCUUUGAACGCACAUUGCGCCCCCUGGCAUUCCGGGGGGCAUGCCUGUCCGAGCGUCAUUGCUGCCCAUCAAGCCCGGCUUGUGUGUUGGGUCGUCGUCCCCCCCGGGGGGCGGGCCCGAAAGGCAGCGGCGGCACCGUGUCCGGUCCUCGAGCGUAUGGGGCUUUGUCACCCGCUCGACUAGGGCCGGCCGGGCGCCAGCCGACGUCUCCAACCAUUUUUCUUCAGGUUGACCUCGGAUCAGGUAGGGAUACCCGCUGAACUUAAGC
This 315-nucleotide unclassified non-coding RNA is filed under the name plant metagenome. Its description in RNAcentral is "partial contains 5.8S ribosomal RNA, internal transcribed spacer 2, and large subunit ribosomal RNA". The stretch from base 1 to 105 matches the Rfam family "5.8S ribosomal RNA", at positions 50 to 154 of the family's 154-position model. The record is from RNAcentral.